AGUCGAGGGGCAGCACGGUAUAGCAAUAUAUGGGUGGCGACCGGCAAACGGGUGCGGAACACGUACACAACCUUCCGGUGAGCGGGGGAUAGCCCAGAGAAAUUUGGAUUAAUACCCCAUACUAUAAUGAUCAGGCAUCUGGUUAUUAUCAAAGGCUUCGGCCGCUUAUUGAUGGGUGUGCGUCUGAUUAGGUAGUUGGCGGGGUAGAGGCCCACCAAGCCUACGAUCAGUAGCUGAUGUGAGAGCAUGAUCAGCCACACGGGCACUGAGACACGGGCCCGACUCCUACGGGAGGCAGCAGUAAGGAAUAUUGGACAAUGGACGCAAGUCUGAUCCAGCCAUGCCGCGUGAAGGAUGAAUGCCCUCUGGGUUGUAAACUUCUUUUACAGGGGAAGAAAGUUAUCUUUUUUAGGAUAUUUGACGGUACCCUAUGAAUAAGCACCGGCUAACUCCGUGCCAGCAGCCGCGGUAAUACGGAGGGUGCAAGCGUUAUCCGGAUUCACUGGGUUUAAAGGGUGCGUAGGCGGGUAUGUAAGUCAGUGGUGAAAUACCGGAGCUUAACUUCGGAACUGCCAUUGAUACUAUAUAUCUUGAAUAUUGUGGAGGUAAGCGGAAUAUGUCAUGUAGCGGUGAAAUGCUUAGAGAUGACAUAGAACACCGAUUGCGAAGGCAGCUUACUACGCAAAUAUUGACGCUGAGGCACGAAAGCGUGGGGAUCAAACAGGAUUAGAUACCCUGGUAGUCCACGCCCUAAACGAUGAUUACUCGACAUUAGCGAUACACAGUUAGUGUCUGAGCGAAAGCAUUAAGUAAUCCACCUGGGAAGUACGAC
Molecule: ribosomal RNA, 832 nt
Filed under: uncultured bacterium
Lineage: Bacteria
Description: bacterial SSU rRNA
Rfam family: Bacterial small subunit ribosomal RNA
Source: RNAcentral